UACGAGGGGGGCAAGCGUUGUUCGGAAUUAUUGGGCGUAAAGGGCGCGUAGGCGGCCUUGUAAGUCAAAGGUGAAAUCCCUCGGCUCAACUGAGGAACUGCCUUUGAAACUGCAAGGCUUGAGGCCGGGAGGGGGUAGCGGAAUUCCCAAUGUAGCGGUGAAAUGCGUAGAUAUUGGGAGGAACACCAGUGCGAAGGCGGCUACCUGGACCGGUUCUGACGCUGAGGCGCGAAAGCGUGGGUAGCAAACAGG
This 252-nucleotide ribosomal RNA is filed under the name uncultured bacterium. Its description in RNAcentral is "partial 16S ribosomal RNA". It matches the Rfam family "Bacterial small subunit ribosomal RNA", at positions 524 to 776 of the family's 1533-position model. The record is from RNAcentral.